UCGCCUACGGGGGGCAGCAGUGGGGAAUAUUGGGCAAUGGGCGCAAGCCUGACCCAGCAACGCCGCGUGAAGGAAGAAGGCUUUCGGGUUGUAAACUUCUUUUAUCAGGGACGAAGCAAGUGACGGUACCUGAUGAAUAAGCCACGGCUAACUACGUGCCAGCAGCCGCGGUAAUACGUAGGGAGCGAGCGUUGUCCGGAUUUACUGGGUGUAAAGGGCGUGUAGGCGGAGCUGCAAGUCAGAAGUGAAAUCUCCGGGCUCAACCCGGAAACUGCUUUUGAAACUGUAGCCCUUGAGUAUCGGAG
RNAcentral lists this ribosomal RNA (305 nucleotides) under uncultured bacterium. Its description in RNAcentral is "bacterial SSU rRNA". It matches the Rfam family "Bacterial small subunit ribosomal RNA", at positions 335 to 654 of the family's 1533-position model. The record is from RNAcentral.